UUAAUUUGGGAAAGACUAGUUUUUCCCCACCAUGGGAAAGUUAGUUUUUAACCAUUAGAUUAAAUAGGGUACACAAUUUUAUCAUGGUCUCUCAACAUCAAAUUUUUCCCACAUCAUCUUCCACCACCAAAACACUUUGUCUUCUUCAACUUUGAUCUUGGUUUUGCUAUGGCAGAAAUUUAUGUUUGUCUCAGCAAAAUUGCUCAAACUUGCAUUGAUGGCUACAAUUUCUUCUCCAGAAUUGCUCAAAUUGAAGCAAUUGAAGCACAUGCAUUGAUGGCUCCACGUUUUUCUUGUAAUGUUGCUGUUAAUUAUUCUGCAACCAUUAUCCUCCAAUUUGUUGGUUUUGAUUUUGAUUUUAACUACUGGAAUUAGUUUGUUGAAAUUGAAUUCAAUUCUUCAUGCCAAUACAACAAUUGAAUAACUUUGUUAUAUAUAAUGAGGUGUAUA
This 450-nucleotide long non-coding RNA is filed under the name Medicago truncatula (barrel medic). Its description in RNAcentral is "long non-coding RNA (MTRU_LNC005677)". The record is from RNAcentral. Lineage: Eukaryota; Viridiplantae; Streptophyta; Magnoliopsida; Fabales; Fabaceae.